AACGAACGCUGGCGGCAUGCCUAACACAUGCAAGUCGAACGAGACCUUCGGGUCUAGUGGCGCACGGGUGCGUAACGCGUGGGAACCUGCCCUUAGGUUCGGAAUAACUCCCCGAAAGGGGUGCUAAUACCGGAUAAUGUCUUCGGACCAAAGAUUUAUCGCCUUUGGAUGGGCCCGCGUUGGAUUAGCUAGUUGGUAGGGUAAAAGCCUACCAAGGCGACGAUCCAUAGCUGGUCUGAGAGGAUGAUCAGCCACACUGGGACUGAGACACGGCCCAGACUCCUACGGGAGGCAGGAGUGGGGAAUAUUGGACAAUGGGCGAAAGCCUGAUCCAGCAAUGCCGCGUGAGUGAUGAAGGCCUUAGGGUUGUAAAGCGCUUUUACCCGGGAUGAUAAUGACAGUACCGGGAGAAUAAGCUCCGGCUAACUCCGUG
Molecule: ribosomal RNA, 433 nt
Filed under: uncultured bacterium
Lineage: Bacteria
Description: partial 16S ribosomal RNA
Rfam family: Bacterial small subunit ribosomal RNA
Source: RNAcentral